AACGAACGCUGGCGGCAUGCCUAACACAUGCAAGUCGAACGAGACCUUCGGGUCUAGUGGCGCACGGGUGCGUAACGCGUGGGAACCUGCCCUUAGGUUCGGAAUAACUCCCCGAAAGGGGUGCUAAUACCGGAUAAUGUCUUCGGACCAAAGAUUUAUCGCCUUUGGAUGGGCCCGCGUUGGAUUAGCUAGUUGGUAGGGUAAAAGCCUACCAAGGCGACGAUCCAUAGCUGGUCUGAGAGGAUGAUCAGCCACACUGGGACUGAGACACGGCCCAGACUCCUACGGGAGGCAGCAGUGGGGAAUAUUGGACAAUGGGCGAAAGCCUGAUCCAGCAAUGCCGCGUGAGUGAUGAAGGCCUUAGGGUUGUAAAGCUCUUUUACACGGGAUGAUAACGACAGUACCGGGAGAAUAAGCUCCGGCUAACUCCGUG
Molecule: ribosomal RNA, 433 nt
Filed under: uncultured bacterium
Lineage: Bacteria
Description: partial 16S ribosomal RNA
Rfam family: Bacterial small subunit ribosomal RNA
Source: RNAcentral